RNAcentral lists this long non-coding RNA (212 nucleotides) under Lathyrus oleraceus (garden pea). RNAcentral describes it as "Pisum sativum (pea) long non-coding RNA (PSAT_LNC029160)". The record is from RNAcentral. Lineage: Eukaryota; Viridiplantae; Streptophyta; Magnoliopsida; Fabales; Fabaceae.
UGAUUGUGAAGAUGAGUCAGAGUCUGAAAAUGAUUCUGAGAGUGAGUCAGAAUCAAAAUGCGAGAUUGAUUCUGAGGAAGAAUCUGAUUCUGAUCUAGAUUCUGAUGGUGAUUCAGAUUCUGGUGAUCUAGAUUCUGAUGGUGAUUCAGAUUCUGGUGAUCCAGAUUUUGAUGGUGAUUCAGAUUUUGGUGUUAGUCCAAAUUCUAGAAAUA